AACCUAGACCCCCCAACCAGACAGCCUUCAUUGAUUCCUCUGGUGAUGAUACUGGUGAUGUUAAAAGUGAAGUGACAUUUUGUCUGAAAGUCUCCAAUGUCAGCUGUUAUGGCUUAGCUGUAAGGUUGCUAUAAAAUCACCUGUGAUUCACUGGAAAAUCCCUGAUCAUCCCAUGACUUGAAUUACAAAGGUGUGCUAACUAGGCCAGGAUAAUGCACGGGAGGGCAGCUGUUAGAACUACUGGCUCACUUGUAUAAGGGACAAACUCCAGGCUCAGAGCACCAGCUUAAUUGUUUGUUAUAGAGAUAGUUGCAGCAAGGAGUCAUGAGUCAAGUAGGGCUUGGUGUCAGCUAGUUGUAAAAUAAUUUUUUUGUAGAUUGCCCCCACCUGCCUUGGCAAAUUGAG
Non-coding RNA from Pelobates cultripes (western spadefoot toad), 405 nucleotides. The record is from the annotation of a GenBank genome assembly. Lineage: Eukaryota; Metazoa; Chordata; Amphibia; Anura; Pelobatidae.